AACGAACGCUGGCGGCGUGGAUAAGACAUGCAAGUCGAACGGGACAGGUAGCAAUAUCUGUCUAGUGGCGAACGGGUGCGUAACACGUGGGCAACAUGCCUGGAAGAGCGGGAUAGCCCGGGGAAACUCGGAUUAAUACCGCAUGUGAAAACGGGGCGGCUUCGCCCUGUUUUCAAAGGUGGGGACCGCAAGGCCUGCCGCUUCCAGAUUGGCCCGCGUCCUAUCAGCUAGUUGGCGGGGUAAAAGCCCACCAAGGCGACGACGGGUAGCUGGUCUGAGAGGACGACCAGCCACACUGGAACUGAGACACGGUCAGACACCUACGGGUGGCAGCAGUCGAGAAUCUUUCACAAUGGGGGAAACCCUGAUGGAGCGACGCCGCGUGGAGGAUGACGGUCUUCGGAUUGUAAACUCCUGUCAUGAAAGAACAAGCGGGGCGGGUGAACAGCCCGCCGAGUUGAUAGUAUUUCAAGAGGAAGGGACGGCUAACUUCGUGCCAGCCGCCGCCGUAA
RNAcentral lists this ribosomal RNA (512 nucleotides) under uncultured bacterium. Its description in RNAcentral is "partial 16S ribosomal RNA". It matches the Rfam family "Bacterial small subunit ribosomal RNA", at positions 29 to 523 of the family's 1533-position model. The record is from RNAcentral.